AGAUUGAACGCUGGCGGCGUGCCUAACACAUGCAAGUCGAGCGGUAGCAGGUGUAGCAAUACAUGCUGACGAGCGGCGAACGGGUGAGUAAUGCUUCGGAAUCUACCCACGGGUGGGGAAUAACCAACCGAAAGGUUGGCUAAUACCGCAUAUGCCCUACGGGGUAAAGCGGGGGAUCGUAAGACCUCGCGCUGGUGGAUGAGCCUACGUCCGAUUAGUUAGUUGGUGGGUAAAGGCCUACCAAGGCGACGAUCGGUAGCUGGUCUGAGAGGAUGAUCAGCCACACUGGGACUGAGACACGGCCCAGACUCCUACGGGAGGCAGC
RNAcentral lists this ribosomal RNA (325 nucleotides) under uncultured prokaryote. RNAcentral describes it as "bacterial SSU rRNA". It matches the Rfam family "Bacterial small subunit ribosomal RNA", at positions 26 to 352 of the family's 1533-position model. The record is from RNAcentral.